ACAGUGACAUCUCAGAAGGACUCCCUGGAGAGCCCCUCUCCCCUCUCAUCCACACUCAGACCAGAGGGUCCUCUGCCUGCCCCGCCCCCGCCAUGAGCCCCUGCCUCCUGGGCUGUGUGGUCUUCUGUCUCCUGCAGGCAGGGGCGGUCCACGCUGGUGUCACUCAGGACCCCAGAUUCCAGGUCGUGAGGACAGGACAGAGCGCGACACUUAAUUGUACUCAGGAUCUGGGUCAUGACUAUAUGUACUGGUAUCGACAAGACCCGGGACUCGGGCUCAGGCUGAUCCAUUACUCAACUGGACCUUUCACCAAGGAGCAAGGAGACGUGCCUGACGGGUACAGCGUCUCCAGACCAAACUCAGAGAACUUCCCUCUCACGCUGGAGUCCGCCAAACGCUCCCAGCCAUCUGUGUACUUCUGCGCCAGCAGUUACUCCACGGCGCUGCACGGCCAGCUGCUCUCUGUGCAAAAAGGCAAGGCAGCCCCUUGCUUGUAG
This is a non-coding RNA of Dama dama (fallow deer), 497 nucleotides long. The record is from the annotation of a RefSeq genome assembly. NCBI's taxonomy places the organism in Eukaryota, Metazoa, Chordata, Mammalia, Artiodactyla, Cervidae.